RNAcentral lists this ribosomal RNA (255 nucleotides) under uncultured Streptococcus sp. Its description in RNAcentral is "partial 16S ribosomal RNA". It matches the Rfam family "Bacterial small subunit ribosomal RNA", at positions 1120 to 1382 of the family's 1533-position model. Lineage: Bacteria; Bacillati; Bacillota; Bacilli; Lactobacillales; Streptococcaceae. The record is from RNAcentral.
AUCAUUCAGUUGGGCACUCUAGCGAGACUGCCGGUAUAACCGGGGAAGUGGGAUGACGUCAAUCAUCAUGCCCCUUAUGACCUGGGCUACACACGUGCUACAAUGGUUGGUACAACGAGUUGCGAGUCGGUGACGGCGAGCUAAUCUCUUAAAGCCAAUCUCAGUUCGGAUUGUAGGCUGCAACUCGCCUACAUGAAGUCGGAAUCGCUAGUAAUCGCGGAUCAGCACGCCGCGGUGAAUACGUUCCCGGGUCUU